This 282-nucleotide long non-coding RNA is filed under the name Nicotiana benthamiana. Its description in RNAcentral is "long non-coding RNA (NBEN_LNC001600)". The record is from RNAcentral. Lineage: Eukaryota; Viridiplantae; Streptophyta; Magnoliopsida; Solanales; Solanaceae.
UUCUUCUUCACCCAGAGACCGACAUCCAUCACUAGGAGUCUAUGAAGAGUCGAAAGUGACUCCCCCGGAAUGACCUUGAAGUCCUUGCAUAAAACUCUAUCGCUCCUUCUGAGAAAAAGAUAAUCAAUAUGAGUCUUCGCCGCCGAACUUUUGAAGGUGACCAAAUGCUCCUCCCUUUUCUGAAAUGUCGAGUUCACAUUUAGAAGCUCAGAAGCCCUGGCGAAAUCGAGCAGUGACGUGCCUCCUCCGUUCCUAACCCCAAGGCCAAAGCCACCGUGCACC